This 78-nucleotide transfer RNA is filed under the name Bifidobacterium callitrichidarum. RNAcentral describes it as "tRNA-Trp". It matches the Rfam family "tRNA". Rfam says of the family: Transfer RNA (tRNA) molecules are approximately 80 nucleotides in length. Their secondary structure includes four short double-helical elements and three loops (D, anti-codon, and T loops). Further hydrogen bonds mediate the characteristic L-shaped molecular structure. tRNAs have two regions of fundamental functional importance: the anti-codon, which is responsible for specific mRNA codon recognition, and the 3' end, to which the tRNAs corresponding amino acid is attached (by aminoacyl-tRNA synthetases). tRNAs cope with the degeneracy of the genetic code in two manners: having more than one tRNA (with a specific anti-codon) for a particular amino acid; and 'wobble' base-pairing, i.e. permitting non-standard base-pairing at the 3rd anti-codon position. The record is from RNAcentral. Lineage: Bacteria; Bacillati; Actinomycetota; Actinomycetes; Bifidobacteriales; Bifidobacteriaceae.
AUGCGUCUAGCUCAAUUUCGGUAGAGUCCCGGUCUCCAAAACCGGAGGAUGAUGGUUCGAGUCCACCGGCGCAUACUA